Molecule: ribosomal RNA, 253 nt
Filed under: uncultured bacterium
Lineage: Bacteria
Description: partial 16S ribosomal RNA
Rfam family: Bacterial small subunit ribosomal RNA
Source: RNAcentral
UACGUAGGGUGCGAGCGUUGUCCGGAAUUACUGGGCGUAAAGAGCUCGUAGGUGGUUUGUCGCGUUGUUCGUGAAAUCUCACGGCUUAACUGUGAGCGUGCGAGCGAUACGGGCAGACUGGAGUACUGCAGGGGAGACUGGAAUUCCUGGUGUAGCGGUGGAAUGCGCAGAUAUCAGGAGGAACACCGGUGGCGAAGGCGGGACUCUGGGCCGAUACUGACGCUGAGGAGCGAAAGCGUGGGGAGCAAACAGG